Molecule: ribosomal RNA, 1371 nt
Filed under: uncultured bacterium
Lineage: Bacteria
Description: bacterial SSU rRNA
Rfam family: Bacterial small subunit ribosomal RNA
Source: RNAcentral
GAUGAACGCUGGCGGCGUGCCUAAUACAUGCAAGUCGAGCGAACGGACGAGAAGCUUGCUUCUCUGAUGUUAGCGGCGGACGGGUGAGUAACACGUGGAUAACCUACCUAUAAGACUGGGAUAACUUCGGGAAACCGGAGCUAAUACCGGAUAAUAUUUUGAACCGCAUGGUUCAAAAGUGAAAGACGGUCUUGCUGUCACUUAUAGAUGGAUCCGCGCUGCAUUAGCUAGUUGGUAAGGUAACGGCUUACCAAGGCAACGAUGCAUAGCCGACCUGAGAGGGUGAUCGGCCACACUGGAACUGAGACACGGUCCAGACUCCUACGGGAGGCAGCAGUAGGGAAUCUUCCGCAAUGGGCGAAAGCCUGACGGAGCAACGCCGCGUGAGUGAUGAAGGUCUUCGGAUCGUAAAACUCUGUUAUUAGGGAAGAACAUAUGUGUAAGUAACUGUGCACAUCUUGACGGUACCUAAUCAGAAAGCCACGGCUAACUACGUGUCAGCAGCCGCGGUAAUACGUAAGUGGCAAGCGUUAUCCCGGAAUAUUGGGCGUAAAGCGCGCGUAGGCGGUUUUUUAGUCUGAUGUGAAAGCCCACGGCUCAACCGUGGAGGGUCAUUGGAAACCGGAAAACUUGAGUGCAGAAGAGGAAAGUGGAAUUCCAUGUGUAGCGGUGAAAUGCGCAGAGAUAUGGAGGAACACCAGUGGCGAAGGCGACUUUCUGGUCUGUAACUGACGCUGAUGUGCGAAAGCGUGGGGAUCAAACAGGAUUAGAUACCCUGGUAGUCCACGCCGUAAACGAUGAGUGCUAAGUGUUAGGGGGUUUCCGCCCCUUAGUGCUGCAGCUAACGCAUUAAGCACUCCGCCUGGGGAGUACGACCGCAAGGUUGAAACUCAAAGGAAUUGACGGGGACCCGCACAAGCGGUGGAGCAUGUGGUUUAAUUCGAAGCAACGCGAAGAACCUUACCAAAUCUUGACAUCCUUUGACAACUCUAGAGAUAGAGCCUUCCCCUUCGGGGGACAAAGUGACAGGUGGUGCAUGGUUGUCGUCAGCUCGUGUCGUGAGAUGUUGGGUUAAGUCCCGCAACGAGCGCAACCCUUAAGCUUAGUUGCCAUCAUUAAGUUGGGCACUCUAAGUUGACUGCCGGUGACAAACCGGAGGAAGGUGGGGAUGACGUCAAAUCAUCAUGCCCCUUAUGAUUUGGGCUACACACGUGCUACAAUGGACAAUACAAAGGGCAGCGAAACCGUGAGGUCAAGCAAAUCCCAUAAAGUUGUUCUCAGUUCGGAUUGUAGUCUGCAACUCGACUACAUGAAGCUGGAAUCGCUAGUAAUCGUAGAUCAGCAUGCUACGGUGAAUACGUUCCCGGGUCU